RNAcentral lists this ribosomal RNA (442 nucleotides) under uncultured bacterium. RNAcentral's name for it is "partial 16S ribosomal RNA". It matches the Rfam family "Bacterial small subunit ribosomal RNA", at positions 338 to 795 of the family's 1533-position model. The record is from RNAcentral.
CCUACGGGUGGCAGCAGUGGGGAAUAUUGGGCAAUGGAGGAAACUCUGACCCAGCAAUGCCGCGUGAAUGAAGAAGGUCUUCGGAUUGUAAAGUUCUUUAGUCAGGGAAGAAGUCAAUGACGGUACCUGAAGAAUAAGCUCCGGCUAACUACGUGCCAGCAGCCGCGGUAAUACGGAGGAUGCGAGCGUUAUCCGGAUUUAUUGGGUUUAAAGGGUGCGCAGGCGGAAGAUCAAGUCAGCGGUAAAAUUGAGAGGCUCAACCUCUUCGAGCCGUUGAAACUGGUUUUCUUGAGUGAGCGAGAAGUAUGCGGAAUGCGUGGUGUAGCGGUGAAAUGCAUAGAUAUCACGCAGAACUCCGAUUGCGAAGGCAGCAUACCGGCGCUCAACUGACGCUCAUGCACGAAAGUGUGGGUAUCGAACAGGAUUAGAUACUCGUGUAGUC